RNAcentral lists this ribosomal RNA (48 nucleotides) under Garcinia gummi-gutta. RNAcentral describes it as "partial 28S ribosomal RNA". Lineage: Eukaryota; Viridiplantae; Streptophyta; Magnoliopsida; Malpighiales; Clusiaceae. The record is from RNAcentral.
CCGCUAUUUGCCAAACUACCCGCUGAUCCUUCCAUAUGUUCAAGUACG